UGGGUAACCUGCCUCAAAGAGGGGAAUAGCCUCCCGAAAGGGAGAUUAAUACCGCAUAAUAUGUUUUAGUCGCAUGACUUAAACAUCAAAGGAUUUUCUUUUAGAAAUUCCACUUUGAGAUGGACCCGCGGCGCAUUAGCUAGUUGGUGAGGUAACGGCUCACCAAGGCAACGAUGCGUAGCCGACCUGAGAGGGUGAUCGGCCACAUUGGAACUGAGAACGGUCCAGACUCCUACGGGAGCAG
Molecule: ribosomal RNA, 244 nt
Filed under: uncultured bacterium
Lineage: Bacteria
Description: partial 16S ribosomal RNA
Rfam family: Bacterial small subunit ribosomal RNA
Source: RNAcentral